This 429-nucleotide ribosomal RNA is filed under the name Actinomycetes bacterium. Its description in RNAcentral is "Actinobacteria bacterium partial 16S ribosomal RNA". It matches the Rfam family "Bacterial small subunit ribosomal RNA", at positions 355 to 776 of the family's 1533-position model. Lineage: Bacteria; Bacillati; Actinomycetota; Actinomycetes. The record is from RNAcentral.
UAGGGAAUCUUCCGCAAUGUGCGAAAGCUUGACGGAGCAACGCCGCGUGAGUGAUGAAGGUCUUCGGAUCGUAAAACUCUGUUAUUAGGGAAGAACAAAUGUGUAAGUAACUAUGCACGUCUUGACGGUACCUAAUCAGAAAGCCACGGCUAACUACGUGCCCGCAGCCGCGGUAAUACGUAGGUGGCAAGCGUUAUCCGGAAUUAUUGGGCGUAAAGCGCGCGUAGGCGGUUUUUUAAGUCUGAUGUGAAAGCCCACGGCUCAACCGUGGAGGGUCAUUGGAAACUGGAAAACGUGAGUGCAGAAGAGGAAAGUGGAAUUCCAUGUGUAGCGGUGAAAAGCGCAGAGAUAUGGAGGAACACCAGUGGCGAAGGCGACUUUCUGGUCUGUAACUGACGCUGAUGUGCGAAAGCGUGGGGAUCAAACAGG